This is a long non-coding RNA of Ananas comosus (pineapple), 1356 nucleotides long. RefSeq lists it as uncharacterized. The record is from RefSeq and is a predicted model, not a curated record. Lineage: Eukaryota; Viridiplantae; Streptophyta; Magnoliopsida; Poales; Bromeliaceae. The transcript is spliced from 4 exons.
ACUACGUAUGAGGUACCUUCUUCCACCACCUCCUUCUUAUCUAAAUCCCCUCUCUUUCUCUCUCAGCCCUAGGAGCAAGCUAGUGAGGGAAAAAACUUGUAGAGUGGAGUUUUCUUGCUAUUGGAGCUAAGAAGAAGCCUGCUAGAGCAGGGGACCAGCUGGAGGAAGCUUUAGAAUUCAGGGGCUGUUAGAAUGGGUAGAUUCUGAUGUUUGGGCUUGUUGGAGCUCCUGAGCAAGAGGUUCAGCUGAAAAAGACUUUGAGCAGGGAAAUCCAGCUAAGGAGGUAUAGAACUCAAGGUAGUAGAUGUAAAGAGAAGGAAAGUAUUGAAGCUGCUAUCUUUGUGAAAUCCCUUGGGUUGCCGAAUUACAAGAUUGAGCUUAGAAGGAAGCUCGUGGAUCAAGGAUUUAACUGAGGAAGGGUUGAAACCUGAGGGAUUGUGGAGUUGAGCUUCUUGCUGUUGAGGUGGUUGCUGCCUUGGUGAAGAUCUGGGUGCCCAAAUUGAAGAAAAACCUGAUGGAGCCUUGAAUUUAGGUUAAACAUGCUCGGGAGUUCGAAUUGACAUUUCGACGAUCCUACAACGCGCUAAUUAAGAAAUACUUCGUUCUAGCUCUAUUUGCAUCGAGUCGUGAGAGUUCGUUGUUAACACGUUCCGAGACGUUGGUUCUAGUGUGUUGGCAUCCCUACAGGUGGGUGGUGCUAUCCGAAUUCAUCGAAUCCCUCUUUAUGUCUAUGUUGCCUUCUUGAGCAUAUCUGUAUAUGAGUAAAAUAAUAUUCAUGCAUUAUAGGGUUAAUGGUAUUAUAUGUCUAUGAAAUGAAUAAUUGGGCAAAUCUCAUUAUUAAGAACAUGUGAACCAUAGAGUGUGGACCUAGAACCCUAUGAAUGUGUGAAUUUUACUGUAGACUAUGACAAUAGUAAACUUGGUGACAUUAUGACUAGAAGCAUUGGUUAGCAUCAAUAUUGGAACUGUAAAACUAGCAUAAAGAGCUAGUUAGAAAUUAAAUUGUGGCAUCGUCAGUUAUUGAAUCCUCUAAGUGAGGAUUGGAUCAUACUCACCUAUUCUGUUUUGGCUUGGUGGUGGUCGCUCCCCCCAAGCAGUGCACUCCGAAGUGUGUCAUUAACUGGGCUGAUCGUGUAAGCCUUCCCAGUAAACAAUCCCGUCGGGAGGCAGCUUAGGGCCCGAUACUUAGGGAUUGCAUUGGUGAGUUAUAGUUAACUAAAUGGUUAACCAAAUGGAUUGGGUAUUGAUUAUUCAUAGCAUGCAUGCAUAAAUUUCAUAUGUUAUCUACAGUUUCUUUCAGCUUUGUACAGGCAUUGUAGUAGUUACAUGUUAUAGCUGGUUACUAUCUAUUCACUU